UGCCUAAUACAUGCAAGUCGAGCGAACUGAUUAGAAGCUUGCUUCUAUGACGUUAGCGGCGGACGGGUGAGUAACACGUGGGCAACCUGCCUGUAAGACUGGGAUAACUUCGGGAAACCGAAGCUAAUACCGGAUAGGAUCUUCUCCUUCAUGGGACAUGAUUGAAAGAUGGUUUCGGCUAUCACUUACGGAUGGGCCCGCGGCGCAUUAGCUAGUUGGUGAGGUAACGGCUCACCAAGGCAACGAUGCAUAGCCGACCUGAGAGGGUGAUCGGCCACACUGGGACUGAGACACGGCCCAGACUCCUACGGGAGGCAGCAGUAGGGAAUCUUCCGCAAUGGACGAAAGUCUGACGGAGCAACGCCGCGUGAGUGAUGAAGGCUUUCGGGUCGUAAAACUCUGUUGUUAGGGAAGAACAAGUGCUAGAGUAACUGCUCGUACCUUGACCGUACCUAACCCGAAAGCCACGGCUAACUACCUGCCCGCCGCCGCGGUAAUACCUAAGUGGCAAGCGUUAUCCGGAAUUAUUGGGCGUAAAGCGCGCGCAAGCGGUUUCCUAAGUCUGAAGUGAAAGCCCACGGCUCAACCGUGGAAGGUCAUUGGAAACUGGGGAACUUGAGUGCAAAAGAAAAAAGCGGAAUUCCACGUGGAACGGUGGAAUGCGUAGAGAUGUGGAAGAACCCCCGUGGCGAAAGCCGCUUUUUGGUCUGGAACUGACGCUGAAGCGCGAAAGCGUGGAAGCAAAAGGAUUAGAUACCCUGGUAGUCCACGCCGUAACGAUGAAUGCUAAGUGGUAGAGGGUUUCCGCCCUUUAGUGCUGCAGCUAACGCAUUAAGCACUCCGGCUGGGGAGUACGGUCGCAAGACUGAAACUCAAGGAAUUGACGGGGGCCCGCACAAGCGGUGGGAGCAUGUGGUUUAUUCCGA
This 926-nucleotide ribosomal RNA is filed under the name Bacillus sp. (in: firmicutes). RNAcentral's name for it is "bacterial SSU rRNA". It matches the Rfam family "Bacterial small subunit ribosomal RNA", at positions 45 to 954 of the family's 1533-position model. The record is from RNAcentral. Lineage: Bacteria; Bacillati; Bacillota; Bacilli; Caryophanales; Bacillaceae.